Molecule: RNA transcript, 12270 nt
Organism: Bactrocera dorsalis (oriental fruit fly)
Lineage: Eukaryota; Metazoa; Arthropoda; Insecta; Diptera; Tephritidae
Gene: Mical
Gene name: F-actin-monooxygenase Mical
Exons: 18
Source: RefSeq, a predicted model, not a curated record
CAGUCAUUUCUCGUGAAACGGCAGAGUUGAAUGUGGUGUACGGUUUUGGUGAGCGCAUUCUAAUUAAUCCUUAUUUCAGAAAUAUAAAUAAUUUAGGAGCAGAAACUCCUCAACCGCUCGAUAACAGAUAACAUAUUUGAUAUAAAUUGAAAUCACAGUGUGUAAAAUGUGAUUGAAUUUAUGUGCAAUCAAAUGAAAAAUAAGCGAUUGUUACGAAACAACGAGUGAAUGAAUGCAUUGAAAAUACACGAUAAUAAAAAAUGUAAGAAUAGUAAAAGCAAAGAAAUUGAGCAGAAAAUAUGGCGAUAACCGGAGAAAAUCCAAAUAAAAGAAGUGAAUGCUAAACAAAAUAUAAAUUUUUAUGUUAUUUGGUAAAAUUUUAAAAAGUUGUGUGCUUUCUAGUGUACAAAAUCGAUUGUAAAUCAAAUAAUACCUCUAAUUUAUUUUUGGCGUUAUAAAAAAUAAAAAAAAUUGUUCUCUGCGGCGCGUGUGAUUAAUCAGACUCUUAUUUGUAUAUGUAUCUAAAUAUGUUGGAUACUUUAGAUACUCCUGCGCAUAAGAGUCGAAUUUGGGUGGACGGAUAAACGUUCAGAAUUAGUCAGACCGUAAACAGUACGGCCGGUGCCUUCUGUUGAAGCACUUAACAUUCAUUGAACAAAUUUUUAAAUAAAUACUUUGCAGUUGUUUAGGAUUUUUGUACGAGGUCUCUGUUGAAAAAAAGAGAUAAAUCACAACAAACCAAAAAUCGAAAAAUAGUUUAAGAAUAAAUAAAGCGUUUGGAAAAUAUCGAGAAAUAUUUCCUUUAACGUAUAAAAAAAGCUAUACCUAUAUAACGGUAUAUCAACUCAAAUGCUUUAAAAAGUACACAUUUUAAAUAUUAUUUGAGAAAUCCAUUCAUACACACCGAUAGCCGUGCAUAAGCGCUUUGAGAGCAGAGAUUGUGCGAGUGCGCCAAGUGGCAGGCCAGUUGCUUGCCACAUGCAACGCAGCAGGUCAAUAAAAGUACAUAUACACACACUGGCAUAGAUAUAACACAUGAUUUUUCAGGAAAUCGACUGAAUAAUCAUGAGUCGUCCAACGCAGCAACGCACGAUGCCACAACAGAAGCCGCCGAAGCAGUACCUUACCGAGCAGGAGGCCAUCGCGGCCUCCGAGCUCUUCGAUCUCUUCUGCGUCGCAACGACAAUGCGUCAGAUUUUGGGCUUGCAUCGCGACAUGUGCGACAUACUGGGCUUACGACCCGCCCCGAUCAACGAAUUCUACCCGAUGUUGAAGGCGAAGAUUCGUUCGUGGAAAGCGCAGGCGCUAUGGAAGAAGUUCGAUGCACGUGCGGCGCAUCGCGUCUACGCGAAAGGAACAGCGUGCAAUGGCACGCAUGUGCUAGUCAUUGGCGCAGGUCCAUGUGGCUUGCGCACCGCCAUUGAGGCGCAGUUGUUAGGUGCCAAAGUCGUUGUGCUGGAGAAACGCGAUCGCAUUACGCGCAACAAUGUGCUGCACUUGUGGCCGUUCGUCAUUACCGAUCUGCGAAAUUUGGGUGCAAAGAAAUUUUAUGGAAAAUUUUGUGCCGGUUCCAUAGAUCACAUAUCCAUUCGGCAAUUACAAAUCAUAUUAAUGAAGGUUGCGCUGCUGUUGGGUGUCGAGAUACAUGAGAAUGUGUCCUUUGAGCGAACAAUUGAGCCGAGUGGCGAUGGCUUCGGCUGGCGUGCGGCCGUAACUCCAGCGGAUCAUGUGGUUUCAUAUUAUGAAUUCGAUGUUUUAAUCGGAGCCGAUGGUAAACGUAACACACUGGAAGGAUUCAAACGAAAGGAGUUUCGUGGAAAACUAGCUAUUGCAAUUACAGCCAAUUUCAUAAAUAAGAAAACAGAGGCAGAGGCUAAAGCGGAGGAGAUAAGCGGUGUUGCGUUCAUAUUCAAUCAGUCCUUCUUCAAGGAGCUAUAUGAGAAAACGGGCAUCGAUUUAGAGAAUAUCGUCUAUUAUAAAGACGAGACGCACUACUUUGUUAUGACCGCGAAGAAACACAGUCUUAUAGACAAAGGUGUUAUAUUACAGGAUUUCUCCGAUCCGGCCGAACUGCUCGCCUCGGCCAACGUGAGCGCCGAAAAGUUGCUCGAUUAUGCGCGUGAAGCUGCCGAAUUCUCCACAAAGUACCAAAUGCCAAAUCUUGAGUUCGCUGUGAAUCAUUAUGGCAAACCCGACGUCGCCAUGUUCGAUUUCACCUCCAUGUUCGCCGCGGAGACAUCCUGCCGUGUGAUGUUGAGGCACGGCCAUCGUUUGUUGCAAUGCUUGGUGGGUGACAGUUUGUUGGAGCCCUUCUGGCCCACAGGUUCGGGCUGUGCGCGCGGUUUCCUUUCUAGCAUGGAUGCUGCGUAUGCGACUAAACUUUGGUCUAACCCGCGCAAUAGUAUUAUGGGCGUUGUGGCGCAGCGUGAAAGUAUAUACAGACUACUUAAUCAGACCACACCUGAGAAUUUACAGCGUGACACAGGUUCUUAUACAGUAGAUCCUGCCUCAAGGUAUCCCAAUCUGAAUCGCACGGCUGUCAGCCCCUACCAGGUGAAAACGCUCAUCGACUCAGAUGAUCCAAAGGUAUUCGAGCAGCCAAUAGCCGAAAUUAUAACAACGCCAGCGUUAGCUGAGGCCCCAGCGUUGUUGCGUAAAUCCCGUCGUAGUACAGAUAUUGUGCCUGAAGCUUUGCUACAUUGGGUUUGUACUCAGCUGCAUAUGUACGAUUUCGUAAAGGAAUUACAGGAACCUGCCGACAUACUUAAAAAUGGAAAAUCACUAUGCGCCUUAAUCAGCCGUUUUCGGCCGGACUUAAUCGAUUACUCAGCAACACGUGACUUAACGCUGGCUGAACGUAAUGAAGUUGCUUUCAGAAUAUUAGAAGCGGAAUAUCAACUGCCACGCAUCAUGAGCGGUGAGAAAUCUGUAGAUCUAGAGAAAGUGGAUACACGUCACUGGCUCCACUAUUUGAACCAAGUGCGUGAAGUGUUCCGCGGUGAAGUGCCGUAUCUGAAACAUCCAAAGAUGGACAUAUCAGAGCUGCGCGAAAAAUACCGUCUCAACAAUGCGCAUGCGCAGCCAGACUUCUCGAAAUUGUUGCAACUUUCGACCAAGCCGAAAUAUCCGAAAGCAAAAAGUCCCAUUGAGGAUAUGGUGGACGUGCCGCAAGUGGUGCAACGCCGCUCGGUGCUGGAUGAAGAACGUGUGAAACGCGUGCGCAGACAUGAGCCGGCUGCAGGCGGCCCAGCAGCAGCCAGUUCGCCACAACAAGGUCAAACCGAUACACCACGUCGUGCCAAGAAGAGAAGAAAUGUCGAGAAGGCUGCUAAUAUUGAAGAACGACAAAAGCGCCUACAAGAAAUUGAACAAAAUCGCCAGGAGCGUAUAAGCAAACGUCGACAGCAACGUUAUCAACAGACACAGAACUUUUACAAGAGCUUGCAAAUGUUGCAAGUCAACACAUUGCUGCGUGAAACUGACGAUCCAACCGCAUUUGAGGACUACUCACUAUUCAUAUAUCGUCAACAUGCGCCGGAGUUCAAUGAUCGCGUGAAGGAUUUGGAGCGCAAAUUGCUGUAUCCUGAUCGCAAUCGCGGCGAUAUACCAUCAGCAAUGCCACGAAAUAAUCCGGAUGAACAGUUUAGUGAUCGCAUCAAAUCUAUGGAGCAACGCAUAAGCUCGAAGAAUGCUUGUGGCAACGAUAAGAAACCCAAAGACUUAAUGCGUGCCAUUGGCAAGAUCGACAGCAAUGACUGGAAUGUGCGCGAAAUCGAAAAGAAAAUCGAACAAUCAAAACGAACUGAAAUACAUGGUCCGAAAGGACGUGAAAAGGUGCCGAAAUGGAGUAAAGAACAAUUUUUGGCUAGACAAAAUAAAAUGGCAAAACCAACGCGUCAAGAAUCUGUAGAGGAGAAGUUCAAAGAGAUCGAUCAAACCUUAAAGAAUUUGGAUAAACAGUUAAAGGAGGGUUCCAUACUGGAAGUUGGUGAACGCGGCCGCAACAAGGUCGCAUCAAUUGCUGGGCAAUUUGUUAAAAAAGAUGAUAAAACGAGCGACGAAAAGAAUCCUACUCCCGCCGCUGUCAAUAGCGCGCCGAAAUCCAGCGCCAAGGUCGCGUUGGCAUUUAAGAAGCAAGCCGCGUCCGAAAAGUGCCACUUCUGCAAACAAAUCGUUUACUUAAUGGAAAAAAUCACCGCCGAAGAUCUCGUAUUUCAUCGUUCGUGUCUGAAGUGUCAUCAUUGUCAUACAAAUUUGCGUCUCGGCGGCUAUGCAUUCGAUCGCGACGAUCCAAAUGGACGCUUCUACUGCACGCAACACUUUAAGCUGCCAGCGAAGGCUAUACGUCCUGUAGUCAGAAAACCAGGUCAAAGGAAGCCAACUCAGCAGCAACAAGCUGCCGCCGCUGCAGCUGCUGCUGUCGACAUUACCGUUACAACAGCGGACGCUGCAAGUGGAAUCAUGCAAACAGACCUACCCAAAACGCCUGAUAAACUUCGUGGCCCCGCUGAUAGCGUUGUACAGCUCGAUUUAUUGGAUCGCGGUCAAACACCGGAACGUAUCGAAUUCGAAAAUACCGAUGCUAUGUCCGAUGGUGAACCUUCGGAGGAGCAUAUACUCGAUGAGCACGAGUGGUCGGGCAGAAAUUUCUUGCCUGAAUCUAAUCAAGAUUCUGAGUCGGAUCUCUCCAGUUCCGAUGACUCGGAUACCGAGUCCGAUGCUGAUAUGUUCGAAGAGGCAAAUGACUCACCAUUGGCGGCACAAACAUUACAAUUGGCCACCGAUUGGAUCGGCAAACAACAUUACUCCGAUAGUGAUGAUUCAGAUGAUUUUUAUGAUUCGAGUGACGGAAUUGCGGAUGACGAUGGUAAAGACGAUACCGAAGGUGAAGACUUCAAGAAGGCUCGUGAACUACGUCGAGAAGAAGUGCGCCUACAGCCACUGCCCGCGAACUUGCCCACUGACACGGAAACUGAGAGUCAAUUACCAGCGGAAAAUAAUGAAAGCAUUGAAAAUGUAGAAAUGAUUCCGGUUCCGACGGGUAAUGAGCCUAUUGAACAGCCAGAGUUAAAGCAAGAUCCUAAACCAGAUAUUGAUAAGUGUUCCGAAAAUUCUUAUAACUCUGAAAAAUCCUUCAAGUCGGUGGACUCUUUUGCUGGUGACAUAGCACCACUUACCACACACGUCUCCUCUAAAGGGCCACCACCUACAAAAACGGAUAUUGAGAAGUUGGAACAAAGUACUGGACGCCGCUUUAGCGCCGAAAUUGAAGCAAUCAAUGAGAAACUACAUCGCCUCAACAGUGUGGUCAAAAUGAGUAAGGAUAUCGAAACCAUAGCCAAAGAAAAUUUAGUAAAGAGCGAUAUACUCAAGAAGCUAACAAUGAAAGAAAAAUGGCUGGCAGACAACUCUGCGAGCAACUCAAAUCCACUAGCACCCAAGUCGGCAUUUGAAAAUCGCUUUGCGCCGAAACAGGAGGUGCUAAAAGAGCAGAAAGAAAAUGCGAAAGCUGAUGAGAAUAUAAAACAGCCUACCGCAUUGGCUGAAAGUGUGUUGGAGAAGUUAAAAACAGAAUUAAAAUCCGAAAAGAGUAACGAGAAUGCCAGCACAGAUAUUAAAAAGGCUGCCGCGGCUCAAAAAGCCACUUCACCUGAAGAGGUAUUGGCGAGUUUGAAAGCAGAGAUAAAAUCAGCUUCGCUUAAUCGCCAAGGCAGUCUUAAGAGACAACAGCUAAGUCCUACUGCCAGUCCUAGCGCCAGCAAAAAGCCCAGUGCAAGCGCUAGUCGCUCCAAUAGUUUUAAGAGCAAAGCUACACAGGAAAACAAAGAAUCUGCUAAAAGUAGCGAGCAGUCUGUUAGUCGUACAAAUAGUCUUAAGCGUUCGGAAAAAUUCACAUCUAAAGACGAGGUGAUAGCCAACGAUAGCCGAAUGCAAAUACAAAACAUAUUGGGUCUUGUGAAGGACAUUGAUGAUAGCAAAGAAAAGGGAUUUGGUCCUAAUCGGUCGAAUUCAGAUAUGGGUAAGCUGUUUUAUGACGCGGAGAGUAAAUUUUCACCAAAGGUCGACAGACGAUUGAUGCAGGAAAAGUUGAAGGAAAUCGAAGCAAAGAGUUUCUCCGGCACAAUGGACGCCAUAAAAUCGCAAAUGGUUGUGCCAACUGUUAGUUCCCAAGCAAACCCAUCCGUAGAUCUCUCUAAAUAUUUUCCCGAUCAAAAGCAACAGAAAACCAAUGCCGCUGCGGUCAAUAAAAACCAAAAAAAUUUAAAGGAUGUUGAUUUAGCGAAAUACUUUCCCAGCAGUCCGACGCCACAGCGCCGCAGUGCCGUAGUGACUGUAGCAGACAAGUUGAAGAAAUCGCAAACGGAGAAUGCCAUUGCGCCUGCACCGACUACAUCCACAAAUGCAAGCAAUAAAAACACAACUCCGGUUAAGGUCAACAAACUAGCGCCGAAGCGACAAGCUUCACUGGGAAACGCCGCUUUCAGUUUGCGUGAUCAUCAGUUGGACGGCGCCGUUGAUUUGUCAAAGAAACAUACACCAGUCGUGGUCAAUAAAGAUGUUGCAGCAAAAAGCGGUCAAACCGCCGUCACAACCACAACUGCAACGGCCGCUGUGACAAAGAAGGGCAAUGUGAAGAUAAUAAAAAAGAUUGUGCCAAAAAAGAAGGUGGGAGGAAACGCAGCGAAAAAGGCCAAUAGCGUACAAGACAAAUCUAUUGUACCACGUGAUGAAUCUGAUCGGGUGCUAGAUGAAAUUCUACAAUCCUCCGACAAGGAGAUGCAUUCACCCAGUGCGGAGUAUUCGAAACUAUUCAAGGAGGAAAAAUCACCUAGUGAAGAUCUUUCAGAUAAAAUUGAGCGUAUGUUCCAAGAAACAGGCAUAGAUUUAGGCAUAGCCGAACCUGUAACAAUUAGCAAUAAAAAACGAUUGCUGAAAACCAAAUCGCUGGGGGAGGGGGAAUUCGAGCGACUCUCAAAAGAGAGAAGCAUGGCGAAAGACGAAUUGACAACUAAAGAGGACGGCGACCGACCCAUUGGUGUACAAGGUUUACUGGCACGUUUCGAAUCAAUGAGUUCGGUUAAGUCCUCGGAGCAAUCGUUCAAACUGCGGCGUAUGGAAUCAACCGUAAGCAAUUUAAACAAGUCGCGUGAGUCACUAAUUUCUCAUGAUUCUGUCAUGUCGCGUGAGUCCGACUCGUUGAGUGAUUUGGAGAAGACAAUGGAAUAUCUGAAGUCUGAAUGGCGUAAUGAAGCAACCAAUUUUCUACAAAAGAAACGCGAUAACUUCUUUUCAAAGAAACGUGCGAUUGAAGAAGAAGAAGCGGCAGCCAAAACCGAAGCAUUGAAAAAGUCAAAAUACGAAGAUUUGCCAGUGCAAUAUCGUGAGUCGAAGUUUGCCAAGUUUUUCGGUAUCAAAUCGAAAUCACCAGAAAAAAUUAAAACCAAAUCACCUGAGAAGAAAAAUGUUGCAACCACAAAAAACACUUUAGUUAAUGACGGCACAGUGAAGAAGUCAUCAUCGCCAAGCAAGAACUUAAAUAAAAACACUGAAACGAAAGCGAAAACGUCUACAAAUUUACAAGUUAACUCAAAGAAUGCCAAACGUAAGUCGCCUUCUCCAAAAAAAAGUCAAAGCAACAAUUCCGAAAACACAAAAAAUAACACCGACAGGGCUUCCAAACCAGCAGCAGCAGCAAGGAAGACGAUAUCGCCGCCUAAAAGUCAAAUGGAAGACUUCGAAACCUUACUAUUAGUAGAAAAGGGUAGUAUAAUCAACUUAGAGACCAAGGUAGCGCCAGUUCUUGACCAAAAUAUUAUUGCGGCUCAAGUUCCUUGCGAUCCAAACCGAUCCAAUAGCGUUGCGUGCAAUGCUACUGACACGGCUAUUCAAACCAAAACUUUAUCGCGCCAGAACUCCAACAACUCUGAUAAUUCAGCACCAGAAACACCGGUAUUAAAAAGGCGACCACUUGUAGAGGACAUAAAAAAUUUACCAAAGACAGGCUGUGACAAAUCGCUAAGUAAUUCACGCCGCAAUUCCGCCGCAAGUUUACAUUCGCGACGGUGUUCAGACGUCUCCCUGGCUGAAAAACUGGAUACUGUAGCCACAAAACUAACGCAAAGUUCGCAAGAUAAUCGAAAUGUGGAUGAACUGUUUCAAAAUAUUGUAGAACGCCUUUCUAACGAACACAGCGAACAAAACGCCAAUACAGAAGAGGAAUGUGACUCAUUGUGUACGUCUAUUAGUAAAAGCCCCAGUGCUGCACCGACCACAGUACGUAUGCGGGGCUCGUCAGAGGAUGAAAGCAUCGAAAAGUUAUUUAGUCAGUUCUCAGAUGAAAUGUUGGUGAAUGUGGAGUUUGAUUCGAACGAUGAAUUGGUGGGCAUCACACCACGCAUACCAUUGAAGAGCACCACGAUCGAAGAGGACGCAGAUUUUGUUGAUCGACUUGAGUCUUUAGAAAAGGAUGAGGUGCCUACAAUCAAAUUUGAAACACUGGAAUCUCCCAAAGCGUCAUCUGAUUUCACACAAGUCGAUGAGCAUGAAAAUAACGAAAGUGUCACGUCUAAUGCUGAUCAAAAAACACUCUGCAAUCCCUCAGCUAUCAAAGCAGGUCCCUUAACUCUCGAGAGUAUACAGACAAUGCUUUAUAUGGAACCCCAAGAAAUGCCUUUCCCCAUCCGUCCGCAGCGGCGACAGAAAAGUACCUCAUCCUCCAGUGAAGCUUCAGCGCCCAUUGCACCACAACGCAUCAAACAUAAAUUAGCAAAAUUAUGUCCCGACAAUAUGCCUCCAUCGGUGCAGGAUUUAAUGCAAACAACAUUCACAAAAAGUUUAACUGCUGAAUUAGCAGCAAAUGGUGGCAUUUCAAUACACAAGUUCCCACGUAACAUAUCCGAAGAUGAAUUGGAGGAUGUGAAGGAAAGCCAUUACCAGAACCAACCAACCUCUGUUCAACGAUCAAACCCAUUGAAAGAAAAAACGAGCAACGUACAAAGCUCAAAUAGUGUUGUAGUGGAACUUCCUAUUAAGGAUAUACCUAAAGAAACUUCAAACGUUGCGGAAAUAAAACAAAAGGAAGAUGUGAAGAUCAAUGAUGUGCAAACCAUUAAAGAUGAAGAAAGUAGAGCCAAUCAUUCUAAUAAUAAGCAACCAAUUCAAGAUAUCACUUCGAAUGUGAUUCCUGAAAUGCCAGUAAAAACUGAGACUUCUAUUAAUCAAAUAAUAACUCCAUCCAAUGAACCUGAAAUCGCCCUUCGAAGAAAUUCACAGGCCUCCAUUGAUGAAAAAACAAGUAAUGCAACCGAAUCUGCAGUAAUGCAGCGAACCCUUCGAAGAAAUUCACAGGCCUCCAUUGAUGAAAAAACGAGUAAUGCAACCGAAUCUCCUCCAGCAAUGCAGCGAAACCAACCGCGUUCCGCAAUAAACGGGAAAACAAUUGAAACCGAAACGAGUUCUAACACACCAAGGCUUUCAAAAUCUUCAGUCUUAGAACAAACAACAUCGCCUCUCAAACAGAGCCCGUUAUUACAGCGAAAAUUAUCGCAAUCUUCUACUGGCAGCGAUAAGAUACAGACUCUCAAUGACUCUCCGAUCACGCAAUGCAAACCAACGCAAUAUACCAAUGUGGACCUUGGUAACUCUCCAUUGAUGCAAUGGCGGUUACUACAAGCUGCAAGCAAUUCAGACUCAGCAGAGAAUCUAUCCACGGCCACUAAUCUUAAAGACAGCUUAAGGGAAGAUAAUACAAAAUCAUCAAACAGCAAUGAGAUUUUGAGCGUACCAAAUUCCAGCAAAGCCUCAAGUAAGGAGCGAUCGUUGGAAUGGGAUAUGACUAAAAUGCCGGCGAGUCCUAUGCCGCGACGUAAAUUCAUUCAUGCCGAACGUCGUGGUUUAGACGAAACUAGAAUAAAAGAUGUGUCGCCAACGAGUUCAAUAAGACUGCUGAAUAAUAUUUCCUCUAACAGCAGUGACUCAGAUGAACGUCGUAUAAUAGAAGAUUUCGAAAUGGAACGCCGUCAAGCAUUGAUACAACGUGACAAAGAAUAUAAAGAAUUGGAGAAAAAAGAAAGAGAGAAUGAAAAUAAACUAGAAGUCAAGAAACCACAAUCGGGCAAUAAAAUCAACAGCAACAACAACUCUAAGUGCACAACACCACGUCCCACACCACUGAGUUCGCGUCGCGGGACACAAGAUAGUAUUAGUACACAAAGAGAGGUCACACCACCAAACUUUAAAAAGCUUGUAAUACCAGCGGAAACAGAAGAUUUACCUUCACUUAGUUCCCGUUGUAGCUCAUUUGCGUUUAUCGAGCUGAUGAGCAAUGGUGAAGCGAGGGAAGCGCCGAUGCCACAAAAGUUGAAAAUUCCCACAAAACCGCAACCGAUAGUGUUACCAGAGAUCAAUGAACCUAUAGCCGAAGUUUUUCAGAAUAGACCAUGGCCUAAGGCGGAGCUUUCACCUGAGAUCGAUAUGAGUGAUUCACCCGAUACGGUGAUCGAGGUGAAACGCGCCAAUUCAGCUCCACGAUCACCGGUAGCCGAAGUUUUUCGUAAUCGCAAAUGGCCUGAUGGCAAAACGGUAUUCAACGAAGAGAGUGAACAAUACUCAGACGACGAUGACUUCAUGAGAAAGAUCUCCAAGAAUAGAAGCAAAUACCGCAAAAUGCAAUCACAUUCACCACAACCAACUACUCGGCAUAGAUUGGCUACCGACGAAAUAAGUGAUGGCAAAAUGUCGUCAAAGUCAAUCUCAGAUCUUCGUAAAGAUUCACCUAUCACCUCAAUCUAUGAAGCGGCACCCUCGAUUAAUUUUGGUACGCGGUCGUCACCAUCGAGUGUUGACAAUUCAUCUACACACACUUCGAUCAGUGGUGCGCCGAAACGACCGUUGCGACACAUACCAGUUGGUCAAACGCCCGAACAAACGAUAGACGCCAGUACACGAAUGCUGUUGGAUCGCAGCAAACGCUUACAUAAUCGUAAAAGUGAGUUUAUCAAUGAACGUGCUGCUGAACGGAAUCCAUAUUUACGCGAUGUAGUCAACGCAGAGCGCAUAGAACGUGAGGCACUCGAUGCAGCGGAGGACGAGUUGGAAUGUUAUCGACCCAACGGGUAUAAGAGCAAACAGCUGACGCGUUUUCCCACUUCACGAACACUUGGACGCGAUCAUAGCAGAUUGUCAAAUAGUCAUUAUAGUUACACGCCUACAUAUAAUUCAGAUUAUGCGUUGAGCAACCGACGCCUUUAUGGCACACCGACAUUACCAUAUACCAGCACCACUUCUUUAAGCCACAAUCCAUAUCUGACUACAGGUAGUACGGCGUAUGGUGGCGCCCUUGGACGCAGCAUGCAUUUCAACGACUACACUAGGCGUAGUCCUUCGCGGCACCGUGAACGGGAACACUCCAAAGAAUCGUGCGUUAUAGCUUAAAAGAAAUAUGCAUUCAUUUAUUUUGUUAGAUGCACUAAAUUUCCAUUUAACAUUAGAUUUUGGAGAUAUUAACACAAUGCUUUCAACGAACAACAACAACUACAACACGAACAAAACUCAAAGGGAGCCAAGAAACUUCAAAGAGUUGUUUUUUAUCCCAUACUUUGGCUCAAAUAACGAACGAAACAAGUUGAAAACAUAAGUACAUUCACAUAUUUGUAAGAGUUAUAAACAAUUUUGAAUAAAAAAAAUUUUAAUAACAAACUAAUGUAAUGAAACCAACGCCAGUCUCAACAAAAUAGUACAACAUACACAUAUCAAAGUCUUUAGUUAGCAUUACACACACUAAAGAAUUAAAGUAAUCAAUUUAAAUAAUUGUAAACGUAAACACAAACAUAAACAAAAACAAAAAAAAAUAUUCGUACGACCCUCCAACGACCAACCAACGGACCAAGCAACCAACCAACAACCAUUCAACCAAAAACGUCUGCCUAACUGCCCGCCAGCUUGUUUACGCUCGGUGUGCCUCAAACAAACAUAUAAAUCCUUGAAUGCGGUUAACAAAAUUGUCUCCCACACAUUCACAUUUCAGAGCGGAAAAGGAAUUGAAAAAGUUAAAACAAAAAUUAUGACAAAGUGCAAUAAGAGAGAGUUGAGGCUUAACACUCAAUAACCACCAUCGGGUACGAUCUGUGAAGGUUCAAAGCGAAUCAGAGACGACAUCUCCCGAAGAGGUUGAGCUCAAUUCAGCUACGGAAAUUUCCACUGAUUCGGAGUUCGAUCACGAUGAAAUAAUUCGUGAGACACCUAAAAUAUUCAUCGAUGAUACUCACCUCA